Molecule: long non-coding RNA, 2489 nt
Organism: Mandrillus leucophaeus (drill)
Lineage: Eukaryota; Metazoa; Chordata; Mammalia; Primates; Cercopithecidae
Exons: 2
Source: RefSeq, a predicted model, not a curated record
CCCCCAGGCGUGCUGGAAGAUGGACUGUCCUCCAAUGGUGUGCCCCGAUCUACAGUCCCAGGUGGAAUACCCAAUCCAGAGAAGAAGACGAACUGUGAGACCCAGUGCCCAAAUCCCCAGAGCCUCAGCUCAGGCCCUCUGACCCAGAAACAGAAUGGCCUUCAGACCACAGAGGCUAAAAGAGAUGCUAAGAGAAUGUCUGCAAAAGAAGUCACCAUUAAUGUAACAGACAGCAUCCAACAGAUGGACAGAAGUCGAAGAAUCACAAAGAACUGUGUCAACUAGCAGAGAGUCCAAGCAGAAGGGUAGAUGGACUUCUUCUGUGUCCUUCAAGGCACUGGAUACCAUCAAAGAACCUUGAAGAAGUGGCUGCCCCUUGCUGGACCUGAAUGCUACUGAGUCCCUGGCAAGACUGUCUUACCUGGCAGCAAACUGCUGCCUGAUUUGUUGGGACCCUUCUGAGCCUUCUACUUAUCAUGUAAAUGUAUUGGCAUAGUGCUUACAUAUGUUAAUAAACUGCAAAUGUGCAGUUCAGUUUGUCUCUUUGCAACUCCUAUAAUAGGGUCUGGUGUAAAAGUAGUGAGUUAAAACUACAGGUCAGUUAUGAAACAGAAAAGUAGGAAUGCAUUUCCUGGGUGAAAGAGUCACACCUUAGUACUAAACUCUCCUGCUCAUUAUAGUGUGUUCUGUUUCAGGCAAGCUUAUUCUUUCCUUCUUUCAUUUUAAAUAUUAUCAUUACAAAUCUUACCAGGGUCACUUAAAAGCUGGCUUCCAUCCAACUCUAAACCCACAUAUUGAAAAAAUCAAGGUAGAGAAAAACUCCUUGUUAUCCUUGUUUCCUUAGCUUCGUAUGAGACAGAUCAGAUCCAGUUUCCCAUGGAUCAACCCACUGCCCAUAGCAUGUCUUUGGGAGGUGUCUGUGAAGCAGUUAUACCUGCUCCUCAUCUGCCUGGAAAGUCCUCCUAUUCUGAUGUCCACGUUGGCCUCCAGUCCUUAAUGUCACCAUGCUUGUGGCCAAUGCAUCCAAAUAAGGAUACCCCUCAGGGCUCAGCCAGACAUUGCAAUUUUACAUAGCUUUCCAGUUUCCUUUGCUUGUCUUCUUAACUGUCUUCCCUCUCUAUUGGGGUCAUUUGCAAUUGUUAAUCAAAGAUUGAACACUGCGUAGGAGAAGGAGAUGAUCCAGAGACAUGUGGCAGCAUGCAUGGCUUCACCUUGGUCUCUCUGUUCACCACCCCAGGACUGUCAUUUUGGCAUCUACAAAGGAAUCACUUUAGAAAGCCAGCACCUGGUUGAUGUGUAUUCACACUGACAUUAGAUUGAUGUGCACUGCAUUAGAAAUGAAGUAGCUGACACAGAAAAAGGAUGUUUUGAUAGGAAUAAUUUUCUAGUAUGUCUUGAAAUGUUCAUCUGGAUGUAUUUUCCUCCAAACUAAUGUAGCAGGAUUUUUCAAGGAUUGUUAACAUGCCUGGGAUUGGGAAAGAUAGGACUAAAGUUGUACCAAACUAUACCAAUAAAUUCCAUGUUUAGCAGAAAUAGGCAGCCUAAUGAUGUUAUGUUUAUAUAACAUAGUCCGGAGAACUGACAUGCAGGUCAAAAGUCAGAUACACAACCUCCUUAUCUGCUAACUCUGUUAUUCUUCAAACACAAGUGGGUAGUGUCAUUUUUCCUUCCUUCCUUCCAUUGGCAGAUUGCAUAUUUAUUCAAUAAACAUUAAAUGUCCAUCCUGUGCCAGGUACUAUGCAGAUGUUGAGGGAUUUGGAGUCUGGUUAGCCAUUACUGUCUAUCCUGAAUCUAACAGUGACUUCAUAACUAGGAGACUGAAUUAGACCCUUAAGGUAUAGCGUGUGUUGCAAAUCACUCAGCAAUGGAAUCUUUUAUAUUCAGGGUAGGUUUGUGUCUUAAACUAGGUGUUCUAAUCACUGUACAAGACUUUACCAUACACAAAACUAUAGUUUUUCUAAACCUUUAUCAUUUUGUGAUUCUUUGAGAAAGGGCUUUUAGGAACUUUAUGUUCUAAAAAAAUUGUCUUAAUAAUAAUAAAAUAAAAGCAAAACCUGUGACUCAUAUGUCCCCACUGACAUUACUCAGCAGGAGCCCCCAGCUGCCAAAGGUUGGCAGUGAUCCUGCGAGUUCAAGGGCUCUUUCUCCCUGGGGAUGUGCUUUGUGGCUUCUCUUUACAGCUUUGUUUCUGCAUCAGUUCACUGCUGCAUGUUGUUUGGAAUUUAUCACCGUAAGAAAGUGUCUCUGUUUUAUAUAGAAACACUUUCUCACUUCCAGGGGAGAAGGAAAUGCAGGGCAUAUGAUCUGGCCCUCCCCAGAACAAUCUGGAUUUCAUGGAGACAGCAACCAGAAGUUAAACCGUGUGACUAAAAAUGCAUCUGGCUACUUUUUCAUGUGUAUAUGAUACAGAAACUAAUCCUUACUAUCCUUUUAGGAUAACACUUUCCAUGGCAAAGUUUGUGUCAAUAAAGUCAUUAAUUUUAAACAUA